AUUGAACGCUGGCGGAAUGCUUUACACAUGCAAGUCGAGCGGCAGCGCGGCCUUCGGGCUGACGGCGAGCGGCGAACGGGUGAGUAAUGCAUCGGAACAUGCCCAGUCGUGGGGGAUAACACUUCGAAAGAAGUGCUAAUACCGCAUACGUCCUGAGGGGGAAAGCGGGGGAUCGCAAGACCUCGCGCGAUUGGAGUGGCCGAUGUCAGAUUAGCUAGUUGGUGGGGUAAAGGCCUACCAAGGCGACGAUCUGUAGCUGGUCUGAGAGGAUGAUCAGCCACACUGGGACUGAGACACGGCCCAGACUCCUACGGGAGGCAGCAGUGGGGAAUUUUGGACAAUGGGGGCAACCCUGAUCCAGCCAUUCCGCGUGAGUGAAGAAGGCCUUCGGGUUGUAAAGCUCUUUCGGCAGGAACGAAACGGUGGGCUCUAACAUAGUCCGCUAAUGACGGUACCUGAAGAAGAAGCACCGGCUAACUACGUG
This 484-nucleotide ribosomal RNA is filed under the name uncultured bacterium. RNAcentral describes it as "partial 16S ribosomal RNA". It matches the Rfam family "Bacterial small subunit ribosomal RNA", at positions 30 to 507 of the family's 1533-position model. The record is from RNAcentral.